UAACCAAUCUAUCUUUGGAUUGAUGUUACUGACAAUCUAUGGUAGAAGCACCACCUCAAAUGCUUGGAUACCUUUAUUCCUCUUUCGUCUUCCCCUUGUUGCGACAGUAUCAACAAAUCCCAUCGAUCAACAAACCCCUUCCAGGAUUGCUUCCAAAAUUGAACGACGGUUUCUCAUCGCCUGGUACAACCGACCGGGUUUCGCUUCCAUUUUAUCUGUUUUGGUUUAUACAUGGCCAUCGUUUCCCCCAAUUCAUUUACAGAUCGUGAACGGGAGAAAAUCACAAGACCAAUUUAUCUCCCAUGUCUACCUGAUUAGUACCGAGGAACGAAAGUAUAAGGGUGGGGGUCGGAAUUCACAGUAGCAGUUCAUGGUUGCGGUGACUAGGCGAUAGCAGCUCGGUGAAGGCGGGUGUGACCGGGACUCCAGUCAGCGGCGAUGGCAGCUCCGCUGCUUCCACUUUCCUAUUCCGAUGAGUCCGACGAGAGGGAAAGACAAAGGCCAGAGGUUGAGGAAUUUCGAUGAGGGGCUGGUCACGGUGGCGGCAGGAGCUGCUCCAACGGCUCCUGUUGCUUCGUUCCCGGCGAUUUCGUCGAGUGGGAAAGGGCAGGGAACAAUCCGAUCACCACAGACGAGUUCGGUGGUGAAUUUGGGUCAAGAGAUAGUGUUUCUUGGAUGGUGCUCGCUCGGCACAACAACAACACCACCAUCACCAUCACAUGCCUUCUUCUUCUGAGAAUCGUUGACUUCAAGUUCUACGGUAUCAGCAACCUGUCGAUUCUGCAUCUCCUUGCAAAUCCAGUUACGAUACUGAUCGAUUUUGCUUUGCACACCUCCAAUUGUAGAAAUCAUGUAUCAACCAAAGAAUGCCCUAAGCUUUGAUGUAUUUGUAAGAAGUGAAAACUGUACAUGCUCAAUCGACAAUUUUUUUCCGGUGAUUGUUCAUUUUGUUCUCCAUCUAUCUAUUGCAUUGAUUUCUUUUAUUCCUUUUCGUCCUUUGGUUUAUAUUUGCUGUUACAGAUGAAGAUGAAGCUACUGACAUGAUUAAUAAUUUUCCAAAGGCCUUUGGUUUAUAUUUGCGGGCUCAUCUGUCGAGCAAAAGAAAAAGGAAAACGGAGGCAACUUGGAUUCAGGUAAACAUUUACAGUUAAUAUGUUUGGUUUUCCUUCUUUGGCUAAUCGGAAGAAAAGAGACAUGAUAUUGAUAGCAGACAAACAAACAAAUUUCUUUGAUGGUUGAUGGGUUUGAGGUAUGUAUUCUUCUUUGAAUCUUUUACAUUUGAUUAUUUUGGAAACGAUUUGCCUAUGAAUAGGGAACUAUAUUUUGCAGGAAAAUAUAUAUUUGGCUCUCCGGAGUCCAACCAAGAAUUAGCAGUUGUCUCUCUUAACUCCACAAGUGGUGAACACAUGAAAACCAGUCGCUCAGAAUUACAAGAAGCCUCACUACAACUCUUAAUGUUCUCAUUGUCAAUAGGUGGUGAACUAGCAACCACACCCACAUGAUAUGGUUGGGGGAUGGAGACAAGUAUAUGGUCAUUUACAGAUAUUUUAUUGAUGUUUUGGUACUAUAUUAAAUAAAUGUUCCGGACAACUUUUGAAUGUUGAUAAAUGGUUGCUGCUUUUUAAUCAAACGUACAUUGCUAUUAUGGGUUAAAACCGAAGCAUAGUGCCUAUAUUUGUAUAUGAAUUGAAAUUUUAAAAUUACAAUUAAAAAAAUAGAUAAUUUGUUUCAACUUUGUAUGGAGUUUUCUUUUCAGGUCUUCAUCUUAUAAAACAUUCAAUGUAUGGUUCUUCAAGGUAUGUGAAGCUAAAAAAGUUGAACAUGAAACUCACUUAGAAAGAAAACCUAUCUGAUGCACCAAGAGAUGAAUAUGAUGAUAUGCUUCAUGCCCUAAGUCCUUGACAUUAUAAAGAAUUCAGAUUAAGGAAGUCAUGGGUUUUGUAUUAGAUAACAUGGAAACUGCUAGAAAGAUAAAUAUUCCAGUUUCUAUUUCACAUCUGGUAAGGGUAAGAUGGUCAUUUAUAUAAAAUCAGUUUUUUAGUGUAUUAGUAUUCCUUUGUUUCUUAAUUAGCUUUAUUGGUUAAUGAUGUAUUUUCCAAGCAAGCAUCAAUAUAUUAGAUUUCCUCCAAAUGCUUAAUUUCUUUUUGAUGGGACAACAUCAACACAUGAUGUCCUUUUAUCUUAUACAAAUACAAUAAUAUUAUAGAAUAAAAAUAAAAAAUAGUAAAUAUUUAUUAAAAAGGGCAAUAUGUUCAUUAUACUUCAAGUAGGAACCGAAAUUUCUAUAAAAUCCCUCAAACAACGACUUCAAAUUCAUUUCGAGUUUUAGGUUCAAAUAACUUUUUGAGGUUUAAAUGGAAAUAAUUAAUUUUUUGUUUAUAAUCUUAUUAAUUGUUCAUUAUUAUAUGUUGAUCUGGAAAUGGUUAUUUUACAUGUGGUUACUGUAAACCGUUAUCUCUGUCAUCAAUUUCAUGGACAAAAGUCUUUUCUAGAUUUGCUUUUGGGGAUAAAAAAAUGUUACGAGUUCUGUCUGAUAACCACAUUUAUAAUUUUCAAAAAAAGUAAGGAGACGAUAAUUUUAAUUUAGAUUAACAAAUAUUAUUGUUUCUUUAAAUUAGUGUUAAGUGUUGGCUGCUAAUUACUUAUUCAUGUCGUUUCAGACCUUAAAGUUGGCAAUGGUUUAUUAGAAGACAUGGCUCAGGCAUGACGUCGCAAUGGGAACAAAUGAAAGUAGGGAGCUAUAAAAAAUUAAAUGAAGUACAUUGCUUUUUCUUGCAUUAAGCUAUUUUGAUAACCUGCUUAUUGACAAAAAGUAUGUUUUUCUUUAUUAUCUAUUUUCACAAAUGAAUGGGAACUGAAAAAACCAAGACUCCCAAAGAAGAGUGGUCAUAAGUAGGACCAGAAUGUGUAUUGGGUGAGAUGAACGCAUGGAGUUGUAUGGGAUACUUCUUUAUGGCACAUGCAUGAGGUACUUAACAGAUCCCAGAGCCACAAAACAAAUUAAAUAGAUUUUAUCUUUGAUUGCAAAUUGAAUCAUCAAAUGAUUAAAUAUGCAUUUGAUUCAAAUUUUCAACCAACCUGUUUGCUUUAAGAUUCUUGAAGAUUAGUUACUUGGUAUUGUCAUCCGUGUGUUGUGAAUGAUUAUUGGGGAUGAAAAAAAUGAAGUUAGUUGAGAUUUGAAUGAUAAGUGAAGUUGUACUCAUGUUUGUAAAUUUUUCUUUUGUAUUAUGCUUUGUUGUCAACAAAGGUCUCAAAGUAAUAAAGUACUUGCAUAUACUCCAAAACACCAACAUAGCAGUUCACCCAUCCCUUGAAACACAUUACUAUACUUCCAAGUGCUCUUGCAUCUUGAGUAAUUCCGUUAAUGCUUACAAUUCUUUAUAUAGCUUGUGGUUUUCGGUUGCAAAGAAUAGCAACAUACUUUACUGUGGCUACCAAUUCGGCCUACGUACUAUAGUUUCACAAAAAAUGACACCUUCCGACCCUCGCAACGUGGGGGAAAUCCUUCUGGUUGACGUUGAAUUUGUUAUUGCAAACUUUUGUUAGCCUUGUUUUAACCAUAUAUCUUAUAGUUUUGUGUCGAGUUUAUAUUAUAACUAGACGAAUGUUCGUGCGUUGCAAAGAAACACCUAUAUAGUUGAAGUUUUUACAAAUAUAUGUUUUUUAAAAUAUAACAAUAACGUUGUUGUUAAAUUUGAUAUAAUGAUUCAUAUAUACUAAAUUGAUAUAAUAUAUUGAUUAUUUUGAAUUUUAUAUAUAUAUAUAUAUAUAUAUAUAUAUAUAUAUAUAUAUAUAUAUACUAUCUUAUAAAAAAAAUCUAACUAUUUCUAAAAAUAGAUUAAAUAUAAAAAUAUUAUUUUUUAAAACGUCCAAACCAUUAAGCUACUGGUACAAGUGACCAUUAAUAAAAUAAUAUUAAAUUUUAACCAUGUUUUUUAAUCCUUAUAAAUCUGAUCUUCUUCCCUUAAUUCAGGGUUCAUUCAAAAUUUGAAAGUCUUCUCAUCCAAAUACGCUUCACCAAAUAUCUUAAAUUCUGCAUAUAUUGACUUGCUCUUCAUCUUCACCCAAUUGAAUCGUUUAAUCCGAGAUCCAUAAACCCUACCCAAACUCGAUCUUCGUUGCCAUUAUAACCAAUCGAGACCUUCACGACAUCACCCAUCAUCCAAACAUCAGCCACCAUCACUGAUGUCCUAGGGUUCGCCAUACCCAUCGUCAUCACCGAUCCACUAUCUGUAAAUCCUCAAAAUCUUGCUGCUAGAGUAUUUAAGAGUUUAUCGCUUGGGUUGCUUGCUCUGAUAUCUGCUUUACGUCAACAUUUUCAUCCUAUUUACACUUAUUAGUUAACAUUUGGUGGUAUUUAGUUUGUAGCUUACAACGUGAAUUGAAGGUCACCCUGAUAACUCCUUCCAAAAAAGGAUAUCAACGAUUUCGAUUGUUCUUGAGCGGUCUCUCUCUCUCUCUCUCUCUCUCUCUCUCUCUCUCUCUCUCCUAUAACAAUGUGUUAAUUUCUCCAUUUCUUAUGUAUCUCUAAUUUGUUCUUAUUUUUGUGAUUAGGGCUUGAUCAACACGGCUAGAUUUUCCAGGUUCAGAUUUUUGUAUUUUACUUUCCCAUAUGCAAUCGAAGAUGCAAAAUCUACAAAUUGUUGUUGUUAUUUAUUCCCAUCUCGAAUUAUAGAUUCAAUUCCAUUUAGCAUAUACGUAGCCUUUCUCUCUCAAUCUCAUUGUAUCCUUUCAUCCUCCCAAUCAUUUUAAAAAACACUCGUCCCCCUUUAAUCCUUGAUCGAUUUAUGUUGAAUCCAAUUGUUUCUCCCCUCAUCCGCCUUCAUAAUCUGGACAGUGCCAAUCUAUAUCAGUAAGUUCUAAAAUUAGCACAAUGUUCUCGUGGGUUCCAAUAGUUGACACUAUUAUACCCUAGGCACCACAUUCACCGGAUUUGCAAAUAUUAUACAAACAAGAUGUAUGAUUUUAAACCCAUAUAAUUGUUUAUCUUCCUCUUAUUUUUGUUUAUGUUUAUAAAUUUUGUGAUUAGGUCUUGACAGAAUCCUCUCAUAAUUUAGAAGUUGAGGUAUUGGGUGAUUGGAAAUGUCCCUGAUCACAAAUCUUCACGUUGCAUCUAGAUCUAUGUGUUUUUUUUUUCCAUAUGGAGUUCUUUUUAUUUCCAUGAAUUUUCACCAUUUUCCAUAGUAAGAAAUAUCUUAAUAUUAAAAUGUUUAUUUGAGCAGGUUUUCAUGAAUCUCAUCUUUGUUGGCUUCAACUACAUCACAGGUUUGAACUUUAUGGGUAAACUGGAAUUUUUACAUCUACUAUGUUAAGACUGUUUGCUUUUUGUAAUGCAUGUAUAGCUUCAAAAGUAAUAGUGCUUAUUUGCCACUAGAAAUACAAUUUAUGUCUCGAUUCUUAUGUGUUUCACUGUGUACCUUGCAGGCAAGUAAUUAUAGCGUAUCAAUUUUUCAAAAUGACUGCCAGUUUAGACAGGAAUAUUGAAGGCAGAUCUCCAACUCUUUUUAUCUUUUCUAUUUUACCUUAGUGAAGCUUAAUUAUUAGUUCUCUAUAUCCAACAUGUGCUCCUAAAACUACUAGAAGUGACAAUUCUUAUGCAAAGCCAGCUUUAAAGCCUAUCAAUCUGGAUGGACUUACUCUGCCACGUUUACAGAUUCUGGUAAAGAGCAUGAAGAUUGAUAACUCAUAUACAUCAUGGUAAAGAGAAAUACAGAUGUUGAAAAAUAUAGCCUUUAUUAUAUAACAUCACAAAAGUUUUGGGGCAUGGAAGAGAUAAUUAAGUUUCCUUAUUGUUGUUUUGGUCUGAUUGGGCUACCAUUUCCAACAUGUCUCAUGAAGCAAUUAGAGAGACUACAUCUCCAUUCAUGAAUCAAAAUGGAGAUAUUUUUUUUACUACUUUGCUGAAGCUGAAUCUAAGGGGCUGUUUAUUUUUUUAGUCUAGGCUUUCUGUUACAACAUUGUUUUUACAGAGAGGAUUAACGAAGGAACACAAAUCUAUCUCUGGGUCUUUAUGCCCCAACAUAUUGUAUUGUGUGGAACCAAUUUUUGGGAUAACAUUAUGCAUACAAACUGUUUGAUAAAUGUCUUGGUUUAUUUUACGAGGAAUGAGUCAUUUUUAUUUUUUAUUUUUUAUUUUUGUUUUAGUAGUUCAGUUUCUUGGAUAUACUUUUUGUUCUGGUGGAAUAAAGCCCCAAUGAAGGUGCAUAUGACUUUAUUGAAAAGCUCCAGAUGGUCAUAGAUGUUUAGGGUGGACCACACCACUAAAUAAGAUGAAGUAGCUUUAUUCCAAGGAGGAUUCAUUUGAUCUUCAUUGUGUUGGUGUUGAACAAUAUGUUGGUAUUUUUAUGAUUCAAAGUUUAUUCUGUCUCUUUUUCUCUAAAUUUGAAUCUAAAAACUAAUCUAUUUCUUGAUGUGUUGGGAAUGAUUUCCUUGCAGAUGGAGUUAUUAGGUUUUCUACUUUUUUAGAAGUGAUAAACAUUGGUUUGAUGGAUUUUACUUAUCUUACUUAUUUGACAUCUGUUUCUUGUAGGUUAUACGAAGAACUUAAUUAAAGUGUGGGUAACAGAAAGAGCAGGACGACCCUAAUCAUAUGUUGAAGGUACCUGAUUAAGGUAUGUCAAAGGCUUUUAAUGUAGAACAUUGUUGUGUUUCUUAAGAUGAAGAGAUCGUAGAAGAUCUAUUUUUGCAUGCUCCUAUUGUCGUUCCUGUUGCCAUUAUGGCUCCUGUUGAAUGAGUGUUUUUUUUUCUAAAAGAUUUUUAACACACUUUUUUUUAUAUUUCUUUAUUUUUAUUGUUUUACCUACUCAUUAACAAAUCAAUGAAAUUACAUGCUAUAUCAUUUUCCAUCUCUAA
This is a non-coding RNA of Lactuca sativa (garden lettuce), 6852 nucleotides long. NCBI's taxonomy places the organism in Eukaryota, Viridiplantae, Streptophyta, Magnoliopsida, Asterales, Asteraceae. The record is from RefSeq and is a predicted model, not a curated record.